RNAcentral lists this ribosomal RNA (845 nucleotides) under uncultured bacterium. Its description in RNAcentral is "bacterial SSU rRNA". It matches the Rfam family "Bacterial small subunit ribosomal RNA", at positions 8 to 820 of the family's 1533-position model. The record is from RNAcentral.
AGAGUUUGAUCCUGGCUCAGGAUGAACGCUGGCGGCGUGCCUAAUACAUGCAAGUCGAACGAAACUUCUUUAUCACCGAGUGCUUGCACUCACCGAUAAAGAGUUGAGUGGCGAACGGGUGAGUAACACGUGGGCAACCUGCCCAAAAGAGGGGGAUAACACUUGGAAACAGGUGCUAAUACCGCAUAACCAUAGUUACCGCAUGGUAACUAUGUAAAAGGUGGCUAUACUACCGCUUUUGGAUGGGCCCGCGGCGCAUUAGCUAGUUGGUAGGGUAAAGGCUUACCAAGGCAAUGAUGCGUAGCCGAAUUGAGAGGUUGAUCGGCCACAUUGGGACUGAGACACGGCCCAAACUCCUACGGGAGGCAGCAGUAGGGAAUCUUCCACAAUGGGCGAAAGCCUGAUGGAGCAACGCCGCGUGGGUGAAGAAGGUCUUCGGAUCGUAAAACCCUGUUGUUAGAGAAGAAAGUGCGUGAGAGUAACUGUCCACGUUUCGACGGUAUCUAACCAGAAAGCCACGGCUAACUACGUGCCAGCAGCCGCGGUAAUACGUAGGUGGCAAGCGUUAUCCGGAUUUAUUGGGCGUAAAGGGAACGCAGGCGGUCUUUUAAGUCUGAUGUGAAAGCCUUCGGCUUAACCGGAGUAGUGCAUUGGAAACUGGGAGACUUGAGUGCAGAAGAGGAGAGUGGAACUCCAUGUGUAGCGGUGAAAUGCGUAGAUAUAUGGAAGAACACCAGUGGCGAAAGCGGCUCUCUGGUCUGUAACUGACGCUGAGGUUCGAAAGCGUGGGUAGCAAACAGGAUUAGAUACCCUGGUAGUCCACGCCGUAAACGAUGAAUGCUAGG